UGCCCUACUCCUUGAGCCACAGGCACCGCCCAAUAACUUUGCUUGCAUAAGAAUGUUUUCACAUGAGGCACAGUCUGUGACUGAGUCACUCGUGUGGUGAGACGUGCACGGCCUUUAUCUGUUAGCACCUGAUGUUCUUUGAGUAUAGUCCACAGAGAAGGUGACCAAAUGUGUUAGUUUGCCCAGGACCUUAGGUCUUUAUUAUCCAGUGAAAUUAUAACAGCAACCACCCAUCACUCACAACAAUGUCCUGGGCCAGACGAAAAAUUAUAGGGUCCCUCAACCUUUUGUGCUGCCAGCUUUUGUGUAUCUUUUUAAACCCUGAGUCCGAGCUAGAAGCUAAAUGAUCAUCUUUUCAAUCCCCUCUUUUCAUAGAUUAGGGAGCAAGAGACCCUCCCCAGGGCCUUGCUGGAGUUCACAGGGCUGGCUGGAGAAAGAAGACCCGGCCAAGGCUUUCGGGUUAGACGUCUGCUGGUGACGUCGGCUUCUCUGUUUCCUGAAGGGUUAUUCCCAGUAACCAAGAUACGCGAUGAAUGUUUCCACUGAGGAAUGAAUGGAGAAAGAAAAUGUGGUAUCCAUACAAGAGAAUAUUAUCCAGCCUGAGAAAAAGAAACAAAUCUUGGCCUUCGCAACAACGCGGUGAACCUGGAGGAAAUUUCUUGCUGUGUUUCGUGGGCCAGAGUGUGAUGGUGUCAUCAUAGCUCACUGCAGCCUCCAACUCCCCGUCUCAAGCAAUCCUCCCACCUCAGCCACCUGAGUAGCUAGGACUACAGGUGAGAGAAGCAACUCGAGAGUGAGUCAGAGGCAGAACUCGCCUGCGGUUUCAUUCUGGGACAGCUGAUGUCCACGGGCAGACGAGAGCCCCAGAUGGUUUUCAGUCUGGGACGUCAGGGUAUCUGCUCCAUGCCAACAACGUUAGGAAAGAUUCAAGUCUAGCAAAUCCCGGGCAGCAGUGAUUAUUAACAGAAAACGUAUCUUUAAACAAAAAGCAAGCAAGCUUGAUAAAACUGCAAGUAAGAAGCUCUUCGCACUGUGGGUAGAAAGUGGAGAGAAGGUUCAAUUACUGCUCGGGGCAAUCAGCUGCCAAGUAACACCAAGUAGUCUGCUAGUCUGCUCUCGUGAACUGCGGUGGCAUUGUUAUUUCUUUUCUUACUAAAUAGUACAUUUGACUUUUUAAGUUAUCAAAGCUGUUUGUGGAAGUGGACAAAGUGGAUUGGGUAAGGUUAUGGGUAAGUGAUGUGCAUUGGGUGGUGCAGGGACCUGGGAACUCUCAAGUUUUCAAGUUCACCUGAAAGUCCCCCCACAGUAGGUUUUUGAAGUCCAAUAUCAGAAAGAGAACAUGAAAAUCACUGAAGAAGAACUGAUUCAUUCAGUCAGCUGGGACUUAGAGCCAGACAGACCAGAAAUUUGAAUUUUGACUUUGCCCCAAAUAGCAGAAUGACUUGGAGCAAAGGCCCUUUGCCUUUGUUUGCUCAUCUUUUAAAUGGGAUUAUGGCUAACUUCUCAUGGAUUGUGUGGCGCGGAAGAGAUUCACCAUGCUGAAAGGUAGCCGGCAUUAUGCAGGAACUCAGUGGAUUCCCACUCUGUAAGGAAUUGUGGGGGAAGAAAGGGAAUGAAAGGCUUAGAGGAAAAUAAGAAACACACAUGUAUGUGCUAACAGGAGAGGAACAAGCAAAUGAGCAGAUAACAUGUGUUGAAACGGCCCCCCACACCCACAUGUUGUGCCCUUCUUUGCCAGUGGCCUCUUUUUUCUUCCUCGAAGAACAAAUAUUGACAUGUUUAGGAGGUGUGUCCCGAACCCCUGGAAUCCUUGCUCUACGGAUGCUGGCAGACUUGAUCCUAGAGACAAAUGCAUCUCAGUAAUAGAAAAUGUUUGGUUACUUAAGUGAAUCGUCCGAAAACACACCGCAAGCCUUCCUCAACAUAGCUGCACAAUUCUUAAUUUUAACUCUGUCAUGAAUAGCUUUAAAAAUGGCCUUUAUUGAAUCUGAAAUUGGUAGAUGCUUACCAAAGAAAAUUAAAAAAAAAUACAUUUAACUAAAAAGAACAAAACAAAACCCGUCUAUACCCAUCCCCUAAUUUAAUCACUGCUAACGUCUUGAUAUAUUUCUUCCCAUCUAUCGUACUUUCAUGUGGGCAUGGUUGAGAUUGUACUGGAUAAUUCACCCCACUUUUGUCCUUUAAUGGCAUA
Molecule: long non-coding RNA, 2191 nt
Organism: Otolemur garnettii (small-eared galago)
Lineage: Eukaryota; Metazoa; Chordata; Mammalia; Primates; Galagidae
Exons: 4
Source: RefSeq, a predicted model, not a curated record